UAACGCGAAGAACCUUACCUACUCUUUACGUGCAGAGAACCCCCCAACAGAUGGAAUAGAGCCUUCGGGAACUCUGAGACAGGUGCUGCAUAGCUGUCGUCAGCUCGUGUUGUGAAAUGUUGGGUUAAGUUUCGCAACGAGCGCAACCCUUAUUCUUUUUUGCCAGCGGUUCGGCCGGGAACUCAAAGGAGACUGCCAGUGAUAAACUGGAGGAAGGUGGGGAUGACGUCAAGUCAUCAUGGCCAUACGAGUAGGGCUACACACGUGCUACAAUGGCGCAUACAAAGAGAAGCGACCUCGCGAGAGCAAGCGGACCUCAUAAAGUGCGUCGUAGUCCGGAUUGGAGUCUGCAACUCGACUCCAGAAGUCGGAAUCGCUAGUAAUCGUAGAUCAGAAGUCACGGGAAU
This 407-nucleotide ribosomal RNA is filed under the name Enterobacter sp. LP4. RNAcentral describes it as "bacterial SSU rRNA". It matches the Rfam family "Bacterial small subunit ribosomal RNA", at positions 957 to 1367 of the family's 1533-position model. The record is from RNAcentral. Lineage: Bacteria; Pseudomonadati; Pseudomonadota; Gammaproteobacteria; Enterobacterales; Enterobacteriaceae.